CAAUAGCGUAUAUUAAAGUUGUUGCGGUUAAAAAGCUCGUAGUUGGAUUUCUGCUGAGAACGACCGGUCCGCCCUCUGGGUGUGUAUCUGGCUCUUUCUUGGCAUCUUCUUGGUGAACGUUGCUGCACUUGACUGUGUGGAGCGCUACCCAGGACUUUUACUUUGAGGAAAUUAGAGUGUUUCAAGCAGGCAUACGCCUUGAAUACAUUAGCAUGGAAUAAUAAGAUAGGACCUCGGUUCUAUUUUGUUGGUUUCUAGAGCUGAGGUAAUGAUUAAUAGGGAUAGUUGGGGGCAUUCGUAUUUAACUGUCAGAGGUGAAAUUCUUGGAUUUGUUACAGACGGACUACUGCGAAAGCAUUUGCCAAGGAUGUUUUCAUUGA
RNAcentral lists this ribosomal RNA (380 nucleotides) under uncultured eukaryote. RNAcentral's name for it is "partial 18S ribosomal RNA". It matches the Rfam family "Eukaryotic small subunit ribosomal RNA", at positions 592 to 976 of the family's 1831-position model. The record is from RNAcentral.